CCCAAGGACACUGAACAAUGGCACAUCACUGCCUGUCCUGGAGGGCAAGUCCCCGAGGUCUGUGGCUGACAGCACCCCGCCUCCCCACCCUGCCCUGCUGAGUGGGUCCUGAGACAAAAGAAUACCAAAUUCCUCCCAGCUCUCAGCACCCGGGGGCCUGGAGCUGCCUCAGAUAGGGGCUGGGGAUGGAGGAGAAUUGACCUGUUGGGCUCAUCACCCACUGCGAUCUCAGCACAUUUCCCUGAGCCUCUGAGCAGAGAAGCCCCUCUGGUUGCAAAUGUGUGAGUGAAAAGGCCUCCUGGCCCCUGGUUCUCACCUGAUCAGGCGCCCUCAUGGGCACUGGCUUACACCCCCCACCCCCAUGGCCUCACCUGGGGCUACUACUCCAGGGGCACGUUUCUUCUGUCAUGAAAUCCUGCCCGUCGCUGAGGGUGGGCGCCCCAGGGCUGGUGUCCUUGCUCCACAUCUCCUGUUCACCUGGACCCCGGGAGCAGAGCCUGCAGAAGCAAAGCCCCGGGGCCGGCAGACCCCUCAUGUUCUGGAGUAACCAGGGAAGUGUGGCUGAGCGAGACGUUGGUGGUGAAGACAUCCUUCGUGGCGCUGAGACAGCACUGAGGAAAGGAGAAGUAUCUUCUCUUUUGAAAUCUGCCCCUUCCCUUCUGGAUUUCCUCCCUUCCAAACCCCACAGUACAACAAUCACAGUCUCCGUUUCCCAGACCUCCCGCGAGCCAGGCUCCCCUCCGUGUCCUUGGCGUGUAUCAACAGGCGGAAUCCUCACCUCCACAGCCCCGUGUCCCUCUGCUCGGUCCCCCUGAGACUGAACCCCCGACCUAGGGGAGAGUGACCCCAUCCUGCCUGUGCCCCCCACUGAAGCUCCUGCCGUGGACAGCUCAGAAGUCAGGAGCCUCAGUGCCUCCCCUCUGCACAGUGAUUCCCUGGGGACAGUGUCCAGCUCUACUGUGUUGACCUCAUUGUGCAGAAAGGGGGUGCCCACCUCGUACCUGCUGGCAGGGGGAAUGAGAGGCUGCCUGCUCACCCCACCUGCACCCCUGUCUCUCAUGGCCCCGAGUCCCAUCUCUGAGCUACACAGACAUCCGCAGCCUGUGACUCAGGGGUCUGGCCAGAUGGGACUCAUUUUCACCCUGCAGAAAAUGUCACCUAACGG
Molecule: long non-coding RNA, 1165 nt
Organism: Piliocolobus tephrosceles (Ugandan red Colobus)
Lineage: Eukaryota; Metazoa; Chordata; Mammalia; Primates; Cercopithecidae
Exons: 3
Source: RefSeq, a predicted model, not a curated record